RNAcentral lists this long non-coding RNA (2115 nucleotides) under Aquilegia coerulea. RNAcentral's name for it is "long non-coding RNA (ACOE_LNC001113)". The record is from RNAcentral. Lineage: Eukaryota; Viridiplantae; Streptophyta; Magnoliopsida; Ranunculales; Ranunculaceae.
GACAUCUGAUUACGCUUCAACAUCCACCUCCAGUUGCCAGAUUGAUCUGUGGAAGUAAAGCGGUUCAAAGUAAUUAUUUGGACAUAUAUACUGAUCAUAGGACCUACGUACUACUGUUUUAUAGAAAGUAAGAAGUCAUACCGACUCCUGUACAUAAUAAAACUAAAUCCUUAAACCUUUACCUAUAUGGGCAGCACAUCGCCCUUUUGUAAUGUUGUUCAAUAGCUCCCAACUGGUUAGGACAGGACUCCUAUCACUAAUAAUACUAGCUAUGCACUAGAUGGAUUGUACUGCCGUUGCUGGGAAUGCCUCGGCAUUUCCUUUGUCAAAUCAUGCUACAGUGCAUGUAAUGGGCGUUAUUAUGUUGUCCAUUGUCCAGCAGAUAUAUAUGUCUGUUGAUGGAAUCGGGUAUUUGGUUCGAUUCAUAGAUGUCAUUAUAACUACUACUCUGAACUCAAAUUAGAUAUAAGUGUUUAUGUACUCCGUUAUUAUUUGUUGCAUUAUCAGGAGCAAUGGACUUUAUCUAUGUUUUCUAUUUGCUGAUCUUAAUAAAGCAAUCAAUGAAAAGUUCCACUAUUUUUCAACAAAUGAAAAUUUGUAUGUGAUGCAGUACCCCUAUAUAUAGAUGUUGGACUCUGAACAAACUAUCACUUUUUAUUUGGUUUCAAGGAUGGCCACUACUUCAAAACAAAUAAAGAACUUCACAAAUAUGAAAAAUGAGGUCUUAUUGUAAGAAGGAUCAGGAUAUCUAGGGUGUUGUCUACUUGUAAUUCCGUACUCUGGUCGAAUGAAUAUGAUAAUGGGCACUUCGUCACUAAGGGAUAAGCAUAUAUAGCUAUUGAGAUCAAACUAUAUACUAAGGGAAUGGGGACAUUCCUAAGGUCUAUUAUAUAGUUGGACAUGCAUGGGGAAGUAUUUGAAAAUAUUUUCCUCAAGAAUCAUAGCCAGGAAAAUCAGGUCUUCAGUUCUCUUUUAUCUAAAUUGUUUAGCACAAAGACUGGUGAACUCGUUCAGAGAAAAAAAACAAACAACAAAAAAGUUAUUGAACACUAUUCAAGAUUAACUGGAGUUUUUGUUGAAGAUGCAGAGGUGCAGGACUAGAGAUCCUGCUCAAACAUGUCUGGGUUGACUGCGUGUGACCCUAUUCAGUGGAGACUACAAUAAAAGUUAUAUUGAAUAAAGAAUCAACAUGCUCAUCUAUGCAUGCAAAUGCAAAAUAAAAGUUGAGAUAGUUUUGUUAAAAAAGUGAACUCCCCCGGCGCUCCCAGGCCCCUCCACCUCCAUAUAUUUCCAUCUUGAAAAUACAGUCAGAAAACUGAUAUGCGAGAUUUAUAACUGACUUGAAGAAAACUUGCAAGGUUAUUGGGAAUAGAUAUUGGCCUUGUGGGAUAUAUAUCACAUAGUGCUCGUUGAUCUCCUCGGUAAACAGUUUCAUGCUAAGACCUCGUAUACUACUGACUGUACUUCAGAUGGGAUUAUAUGGAGAGCAGGAAAGAACACCACAUAUAAGACAAGAGAACCACAUACAAGUAGUUUUCCAAAAACCAGAACCCAAAGCCCUUGACAAAAAAUCAACCAUAUAUACGAAGGAGCCUUUUCCCUUUGGUGGAUGCAUGGUUCGGACCUCUACCAGCUAGUACAGACGAAGUUCAGUUCAUUAGUCACGGUGCAGUUCAAAAUUGAACGGUCAGUUGCUCAUAUUGUAAUUUCAAAUGAACAGAUAUUUAACUAUUGACCCGAAAGUACUAGACGAUAACCAAAUACAGUAAUAAUGACAUUCUUCAAGAAUCAAGAUGAGAAAAAGAAUACAGUUCCAAGCAGAAGAAAAACCAGAUCAGAAAGCCAAAACUGAAUCCCGUUUUUUCCAUUCAUGAUUCAUCAAGAACAAUAUAAAAAGAAGAAGGCAAGAAAGAUCAGAUCAGCAUAAGCUAUGGUAACGUACCAUACACCACGCAUAUGUGAUACAUCGCUUCGCAAGUUAUCCAUGGCAAAUGUUACCAACAAUUUCAAAGUUAAUACCAGCAAGAGGAGAGAUAACUUCUUAAGCCCUGUGGGUUGGUGAAGGGACAAUGCCAACCAACAUAAUUUACCUUAACAGGUAUAUGUAAUUAGUAU